This 1558-nucleotide unclassified non-coding RNA is filed under the name Hevea brasiliensis (rubber tree). The record is from RNAcentral. Lineage: Eukaryota; Viridiplantae; Streptophyta; Magnoliopsida; Malpighiales; Euphorbiaceae.
AACCACAUGCCAAAACUAUAAAUAAUAUUAAAAUUACAAAAAUAAUCAAUAUCCAACUCACAGAGUUGUUAACUCAAUUGCAGCUAGUCCGGCUGGAGAUAAGAAAGGUUAGUCGGCACUGAUCAUUUAUGCAGACACACUAACCUCUAUCGGUUUACUAACAUAAUUAAUCAAUUAAUUUAAUUAAAAAAGUAAGAAUAAUUCCUAAGGUCUUAUCAAAAUUUUAGCAGAGUUUUCCCUAUAAUUAGACCUAAACCCCUUGCAAGAAAACAUAACUACAGCAACACACCAAGCCUCAGGCCCACAACAAUAAUUAUAAUGCUCAUACGGGGCUUACAAAAAAUCUAAUAUAAGUUCAAUCAUGCAAACUAUAGCUCAGGUCCCUCACUCCUCUAUAAUUCAAAAUAAUUAUUUUCAGCACUUCAAAAAUUAUGAAAAUAUUCCUGGAAAUCCUUUAUAUUAUCUUUUUAUCAAUUAAACUCAUUUUACUUAAUUUAAUAAGCCAAGAAUAUUUUAUUGAUUUAACUAGCUAGCUUAAUUAAGAUACAAAUGACACAACUUGAGUUAGGGACUACCUUUACAAAUUUUGCUACCUGAAAUACGUCCAGAACGUUUGAAAAUACUGGAAAUGACUACAAACACGAUCACCUUCCACGACACGGAGCUGGACCGACCCAAAAACUCAGUCCUAAGUGUCCGUCGAUCCAAUCUCACCGAGCGAUCUGGACCACUCGAUGAUCGUAUUUUCCAAGCGGUGUCUGAUAAGAGUGAGGUUGGUCCCAUUCCUAAGGUUUCAUCAUGCUGAAUUCAAAGGUGGUCUUGGAUCGCCGAGAAAGAGCCCCAAGACGCCACUACCCAUCCAUUUCUUUUCCUCUAUGUUUCUCGCUGGUUCCUUAAUGGAAUCAACCAUUGGUGGUUGUUUUUGGUAGUCUGAAUUGUCUAGAGUCGCCCCCAUAAAUUCGACGGUGGUUGGAAGUGAAGAACACCGACAAGUAGCUUGGAAGAGGGACGUUAUUCUUUCCUUUCCUCUCCUCGCAACCAGCCUCGAUGGCCAUUGAUUCACACUGCUGGUGGUGCUAAAAGACUCAUCGGACAUCAUUUGGGCUAUAGUAAGUGUUGCCGGCGUUAAUGGAGGUUGACCGGAGAAGGAAUGGAUGAGGGGAGGAGGCUGGUUGUCGAGGCUGGUUGUCGAGGCUUACGUGGUUCUCUUCCCUUGAGCGAUCCUAGCUUCACCUCUCACUACUCGACGGCCUUAUGUCCUCUACUGAACCUCUGGCAUCGCAAGGUGACUAGCAACUGGUUAUUGGUGGUGUUAGCUUGCCGAAGAAAGGGACAAAACAUGGGAAAGGAGAAUCAAGGAGAGAGAGGACGUGGGUAAGGGAUGGUAGGUGGAGAAAGCUUUCGAUUGGUGGGUUAAAUUGGUUCUUCCAUUUGAUUAGCUGCUGAAUUGUGAUUUAAAUUCAUGUUAUUAUUAUUAUUAUAUUUCCAUUACUUUUCUUUUUUUCUCCUGUAUUAUAUGUGUAUAAAAUAAUUUAACUAUAAUGAAUCUUACCUACCA